UACGUAGGGGGCUAGCGUUGUCCGGAAUCAUUGGGCGUAAAGCGCGUGUAGGCGGUCCGGUGAGUCCGCUGUGAAAGUCGGGGGCUCAACCCUCGGAUGCCGGUGGAUACUGUCGGGCUUGAGUACGGAAGAGGCGAGUGGAAUUCCUGGUGUAGCGGUGAAAUGCGCAGAUAUCAGGAGGAACACCAAUUGCGAAGGCAGCUCGCUGGGACGUUACUGACGCUGAGACGCGAAAGCGUGGGGAGCAAACAGG
This 253-nucleotide ribosomal RNA is filed under the name uncultured bacterium. Its description in RNAcentral is "partial 16S ribosomal RNA". It matches the Rfam family "Bacterial small subunit ribosomal RNA", at positions 524 to 776 of the family's 1533-position model. The record is from RNAcentral.